Molecule: ribosomal RNA, 253 nt
Filed under: uncultured bacterium
Lineage: Bacteria
Description: partial 16S ribosomal RNA
Rfam family: Bacterial small subunit ribosomal RNA
Source: RNAcentral
UACAGAGGUCCCAAGCGUUGUUCGGAUUCACUGGGCGUAAAGGGUGCGUAGGCGGCUGGGUAAGUCAGUCGUGAAAUCUCCGAGCCUAACUCGGAAACUGCGUCGGAUACUAUUCAACUCGAGGAAUGGAGGGGAGACUGGAAUUCUCGGUGUAGCAGUGAAAUGCGUAGAUAUCGAGAGGAACACCAGUGGCGAAGGCGAGUCUCUGGACAUUUCCUGACGCUGAGGCACGAAAGCCAGGGGAGCAAACGGG